Caenorhabditis elegans is the source of this 82-nucleotide small nuclear RNA. The record is from Ensembl. NCBI's taxonomy places the organism in Eukaryota, Metazoa, Nematoda, Chromadorea, Rhabditida, Rhabditidae.
CAGCACGAUUUAACACUCUCAGGGCCUUACAAAAGACCCAGUGAACAAUUUUUGCAAACCCUGUCCUUUCAAGGUCAGGGUA